UACGUAGGGGGCAAGCGUUGUCCGGAAUCAUUGGGCGUAAAGAGCGUGUAGGCGGCCCGGUAAGUCCGCUGUGAAAGUCCAGGGCUCAACCCCUGGAAUGCCGGUGAAAAACUGUCGGGCUAGAGUCCGGAAGAGGCGAGUGGAAUUCCUGGUGUAGCGGUGAAAUGCGCAGAUAUCAGGAGGAACACCAAUGGCGAAGGCAGCUCGCUGGGACGGUACUGACGCUGAGACGCGAAAGCGUGGGGAGCAAACAGG
This 255-nucleotide ribosomal RNA is filed under the name uncultured bacterium. RNAcentral's name for it is "partial 16S ribosomal RNA". It matches the Rfam family "Bacterial small subunit ribosomal RNA", at positions 524 to 776 of the family's 1533-position model. The record is from RNAcentral.